Molecule: ribosomal RNA, 492 nt
Filed under: uncultured bacterium
Lineage: Bacteria
Description: partial 16S ribosomal RNA
Rfam family: Bacterial small subunit ribosomal RNA
Source: RNAcentral
AGUGAACGCUGGCGGUAGGCCUAACACAUGCAAGUCGAACGGCAGCACAGUAAGAGCUUGCUCUUACGGGUGGCGAGUGGCGGACGGGUGAGGAAUACAUCGGAAUCUACUUUUUCGUGGGGGAUAACGUAGGGAAACUUACGCUAAUACCGCAUACGACCUACGGGUGAAAGCAGGGGAUCUUCGGACCUUGCGCGAUUGAAUGAGCCGAUGUCGGAUUAGCUAGUUGGCGGGGUAAAGGCCCACCAAGGCGACGAUCCGUAGCUGGUCUGAGAGGAUGAUCAGCCACACUGGAACUGAGACACGGUCCAGACUCCUACGGGAGGCAGCAGUGGGGAAUAUUGGACAAUGGGCGCAAGCCUGAUCCAGCCAUACCGCGUGGGUGAAGAAGGCCUUCGGGUUGUAAAGCCCUUUUGUUGGGAAAGAAAAGCAGCAGGUUAAUACCCCGCUGCUCUGACGGUACCCAAAGAAUAAGCACCGGCUAACUUCGUA